UGAGGAAUCUUCCGCAAUGGGCGAAAGCCUGACGGAGCAACGCCGCGUGAAUGAAGAAGGCCUUCGGGUCGUAAAGUUCUGUCUUUAGGGAAGAAGGCCCUUGAGGUAAAUAAUCUUGAGGGAUGACGGUACCUGAGGAGGAAGCUCCGGCUAACUACGUGCC
RNAcentral lists this ribosomal RNA (163 nucleotides) under uncultured bacterium. Its description in RNAcentral is "partial 16S ribosomal RNA". It matches the Rfam family "Bacterial small subunit ribosomal RNA", at positions 355 to 509 of the family's 1533-position model. The record is from RNAcentral.